Molecule: non-coding RNA, 1884 nt
Organism: Physcomitrium patens
Lineage: Eukaryota; Viridiplantae; Streptophyta; Bryopsida; Funariales; Funariaceae
Source: RefSeq, a predicted model, not a curated record
GGACCUUGUUCUGUGAGAUUUGAAUUGCAGGAGAUGACCUAAACUUUAAAGUUAUUCUUUCACCCCUGGGCUAUAAAUUCCAGCUACGCCCAUAGAACUCGAUCCUGGUGAAGCACCCACAAUCCGCAGCGUCACUUUUCUUCUUCUGAAAAGUGCCAUCUCCGCACGACUACCUGAUCUUUCUCUCGUAUUCGCCAUCUCUAAGAAGUCUACCUCUUGGUUCAAAGUCUCUUAAUCAGGUCAUGUUUGGUUUCUUUCGCUGGCGCUUCAGUUUGCGAUAUUAGUAUACACAUUUCGAUAGUCCGUACAAUGAUAUACUAGGGGAUGGGUCUACUUCAGACAGAUGUUUUGCAGUUCUCACUUUUGUUUUAUGCUAAACUGCUUCUGCAGAUGUGUUUUAUAAGUUUUUUACAUUAUUGAAGGGAAUCCGUCUCGUUGAUUAGGAGUUCAGAAUAAAAACUGGGUGAUUCUUAACAUCCCUGACUGGGCUGAGCAUGAGCGGAGCAAUAUACCUAAAACCCUAUUACUACGCUCAUGUGUCUGCCCGGUUUAGGUUCUGUCGAGGCAUGAACGAUAAUGGCGCAAGGAGGAAGCUUGAUACGCCAUUUCACUUCCAUGUACUGUCACACUGUUUAAAGAAACUUAUGCUAAGAUCUAGGUGAUUUAUGAUCGUAUAAUUUUCGCUUGAGGGCUUUGCCACUUAACUUGAACAAAUGUCUUCAGUUAGUGAGGCUUGAUUCCCAAUCUUUUUUCUUUUCCCGACACGAAUCUUUCUGACCUGCCUAAAUUGUUCUUUCUAGAAAUUUGGGAGUACUUUGGUCUUAAUUAUCUAGGUAUGUGUAGCGCUGCGGUUCAAAAUCAUAAGUUCUUUGAUCACAAAUGACGACAAUUUUUUUAUCUGAGCUCAGUCCAGGACAUGAGCUGUAACUGGUUAGAGGGUAACCUCUGUAGGUGUGGCCCUGAUGUUGAAUAUCACAGUUUGUCUGAUUCUAUCUGACGACAUAUACUUGUUUCCUGAGCCACUUCAAUGAAGACGGUUCGUUUCUUGCAAGUCAUAGAGGUUAUUUCUGGUUUGUGUGGCGCUGAUGUUCAAUAUCACAGUUUGUCUGAUCAUAGAUGACGACAAAAGUAUUUUUUCUGAGCUCACACUCUAGAACGUUUCCAGUGAGAGAGUAGAGAGUUAACCUGGUGCAUGUGACGCUGAUGUUUAAUAUCACAGUUUGUCUGAUUGUAAAUGACGACAAUACCUUAUUUCCUGAGCCACAGCAAUGGAUACGGAUAACAACUUUUAAUUCAGAGAGGUUGACCUUGGUUUAUGUGUCACUGAUGCUGAAUAUUAAAGAUGUCCAAGCAUUUAUCCUGAGCUCAUUCUUCAGGGCAUGGCGUGAUUAGAGAAUAAUCUCAGUACAUGUGGCGCUUAUGUUGAAUAUCACAGUUUGUCUGAUUGUAAAUGUCGACAACAAUUUAUCGCCUGAGCCACAAUUGGUGUUGAUAGCACCCAUUCGAAAGGAUAAUGUAUCAAUUGUAAACUGUUUGUUAAAAAACUCAAAGUUGGCAAGAGCCGAAAUCGUUUCAAGAUUAAAGAUGCAAAGGAUCAUUCUUAAUAGGUUUGAAUGUGUGUAUAUAUAUGUAGGGAAAUGUUCAAAUUACCCACCCAUUUACAAAAUCGUCCCUCCACCCCAUCAUGGAAAACGAGGGAGAACGAGUGGGUGAAGAUAAGGGCUAGGAACAGAGGGAGGGCAACGGAUAGAGUAAUACUUCCUUCAUUCGGUAUAGAAUGCUUAAAUCUAUAACAAUUAAGAAGCAGUCAAAUGUUAUGCUUCUGUUUUAUUUGUUUUGAAAGAUACCAAGUUUUUAUUAAAGUGGUAUCUUCGGAAUAGUAUA